CUGGGAGGUGUAAUGUACCUAUUGAUCUGUGAAGUGAUGGAGAACGACACUCUCUGGACUGUAGAGAAAGGCUAUCAUUAAGAUACACUACAAUAUGUAUUUGUCUGGCUGGCUUUGAUUCCAAGGAAAUCCACAUUUACACAAUCAUUGUAUAUAAUUUGCCACAUGCGAAUCAUGUGUAAAUAACGUGAGGCAGAUCGGUUGUGGUUUCUGUUGAUUUCUGUUUACGUCUGUCGUGUUCAUUUAACCAACAUGCUGACUGUAGGGCAUAGUUAAGAUCUCAUUUAGAGAAGAAGGUUGACAUUUCCUAACGGAACGAGCAUCACAUCACCACAAAUCUCCCGGUAAUCUGCGGGUUCAGACGGAAGGUUGUGACGGAAUGUUCGAGAAGGAUCCGGAACAGGAGAAGAGAUCCACGUCCGCCGAAUACAACAGGUGUAGAACUUACAGGGAAAUGCUUACCUACAAGCCAAUUAACCAACAAUGCAGUUUUAAGAAAAAUACCUAACCUAACAAAAUAAUAAAUAAAAGUAACAAAUAAUACAAGAGCAGCAGUAAAAUAACAAAAGCGAGGCUAUGGGUGUUAUUAUGGUGUUAUUAUGAGCAGUGUUUACUGUCUGAGUGGUGUUAUUAUGAGGAGUGUUUACUGUCUGAGUGGUGUUAUUAUGAGGAGGUGAGGAGUGUUUACUGUCUGAGUGGUGUUAUUAUGAGGAGGUGAGGAGUGUUUACUGUCUGAGUGGUGUUAUUAUGAGGAGGUGAGGAGUGUUUACAGUCUGAGUGGUGUUAUUAUGAGGAGUGUUUACUGUCUGAGUGGUGUUAUUAUGAGGAGGUGAGGAGUGUUUACUGUCUGAGUGGUGUUAUUAUGAGGAGGUGAGGAGUGUUUACUGUCUGAGUGGUGUUAUUAUGAGGAGGUGAGGAGUGUUUACUGUCUGAGUGGUGUUAUUAUGAGGAGGUGAGGAGUGUUUACAGUCUGAGUGGUGUUAUUAUGAGGAGGUGAGGAGUGUUUACUGUCUGAGUGGUGUUAUUAUGAGGAGUGUUUACAGUCUGAGUGGUGUUAUUAUGAGGAGGUGAGGAGUGUUUACUGUCUGAGUGGUGUUAUUAUGAGGAGUGUUUACAGUCUGAGUGGUGUUAUUAUGAGGAGGUGAGGAGUGUUUACUGUCUGAGUGGUGUUAUUAUGAGGAGUGUUUACAGUCUGAGUGGUGUUAUUAUGAGGAGGUGAGGAGUGUUUACUGUCUGAGUGGUGUUAUUAUGAGGAGGUGAGGAGUGUUUACUGUCUGAGUGGUGUUAUUAUGAGGAGGUGAGGAGUGUUUACUGUCUGAGUGGUGCUUCCAACACUUUUUAAACAUUGUAUUUUUGAGCUACAGACUCACUUUUCCAUUGGAUUCAUCUAUUUCUUCUGCAUCCCAGUCACCAAACAUUAGCCUGUGUGAUUAACGGUGGCUGAAGUGAAGACAGAACGGUUCCAGGUCCAAACUAUUAAUCCCAGCUGUGAACUGCUCUAUGGUUCUCACAAGCCACAGUAGAGUCAUUAGAAGGUCAAAGGUUAUUCUACAUAGAGGAUCAUGGGAGAUCAAGCCACAGUAGAGUCAUUAGAAGGUCAAAGGUUAUUCUCAUGGGAGAUCAAGCCACAGUAGAGUCAUUAGAAGGUCAAAGGUUAUUCUACAUAGAGGAUCAUGGGAGAUCAAGCCACAGUAGAGUCAUUAGAAGGUCAAAGGUUAUUCUCAUGGGAGAUCAAGCCACAGUAGAGUCAUUAGAAGGUCAAAGGUUAUUCUCAUGGGAGAUCAAGCCACAGUAGAGUCAUUAGGAGAUCCCAGGUCAUAGUGUCUAUAAUACUGUAAUAAGCUCACAUAGUUGCUAUUACAAACUCCAAACAGUGGUCACUGACAAGUUG
RNAcentral lists this long non-coding RNA (1891 nucleotides) under Salmo salar (Atlantic salmon). Its description in RNAcentral is "lncRNA (ENSSSAG00000108770.1)". Lineage: Eukaryota; Metazoa; Chordata; Actinopteri; Salmoniformes; Salmonidae. The record is from RNAcentral.